Molecule: ribosomal RNA, 1923 nt
Filed under: Triticum aestivum (bread wheat)
Lineage: Eukaryota; Viridiplantae; Streptophyta; Magnoliopsida; Poales; Poaceae
Description: partial small subunit ribosomal RNA
Source: RNAcentral
AUGACAUUACUGGAUUAUAUUGACUUGGACUAUGAUGAGUAUUAUGUCAAAUUAGAUGUUAUUGUUUUGACCACUUAUGAAGAUAGCGUCGAAAAAGAUGGCAAUGUUGAAGAAGAAGAUGAUGCUAACGUUGCUCAAUCUGAAAAUGUAGCUGAAGCUGCAGCAUCCCCGCCAAUUUCAGAACAAGAUGCUACUGGUACAACAUGCUUGUCAAAGUUAGAACAAGAACUAUGUGGUACAACAUCUUUGUCGAUGGUAGAAUAUGGUGCCGCCACAUUCCUAUUAAAGGCAGAAGAAGCUAUGCAGCCUAAAAAUCAGGUGUUUCUUGCAACAAGUGAUGUUGCAAAAGAGGCUAUGCAGUCUAGGAGUCAUGAGCUUAUUGUAGCAAGUGAUUGUGUGGGCAAAUCUAUGCAGUCAGAACAUGAGGCCGAAGUUGUCCUAUUCUUGUCAGUGACAGAGCAAGGUGCUGCCACAUCUUUGUUAUUAAAAAAUCAAGGUACUAUCACAUCCUCAUUAAGUGAAAACAAGGCCGUGCAGUCCAAAGAUCAGGUGUUUGUUGCAGCAGUUGAUUGCGCAAAAGAGGCCACAAGAUCUGAAAGUACAGAGAAAGUUGUUGUGUCUCCAUCAAUGACAGAAGGGGGUGCUACCUGCAAAUGCCACAAUGUGGGACAAUUAUGCUGCCCUCAUAUCGUGCAAGAUGGCGUUGAUUUACGUAUUUCCCAUGGUGGAGGCCAUUCACAUGGUGAAACUGGUUCCAGCACAGUACCAUGCACCAAAUCAGAAGGAUCGAUCAAGCAUGAAGGACAUAGUGGAACCAGAGUGAAGAUUAACGCUGGAAAUGCUAUGGUCAGCACAGGAAUCUACGAUCUUCAUGAAGAACCAGAGGGAGACACUGAGAAGGAUGAGAACCGUGAUUUGGAAGCAGAAGUGGCAGUACUCUACCCGGAAGUGACCCAGGAUGUUGUUGCUGUGUCCGUGUAUCCUGGGGGCGAAGAUAAGGAGAACAGUCGGUUUGGGAAAUUCUACAACAAGAUUAAAGGAAAGAAACGAGUCAACACCUCUUCUACAGAAUGCAACACACAGUUCAACACCGUCUAUAGUACAGGAGUGCAGCCAACGCAUGGAAAUAAUGGAGUUAGUGUUGUAGGAAGUGUUGGGAAUAGUACGGGCAGCACAUCAAUCUGCAGUCUUAACUGUGAAGUUGUGAUGUGCACCUACCAAGAAUGCAGCAAUACAUCCAAGGGAAGUACAAGGUAUUGCAAGAACCACGACAGUCCUUCAAAGGGCUGCAUGGUUAAAGGUUGUACAAAUGUUGCACAUGGAGGCACACCUCUAUGCAUUUUCCAUAGUUCAAGGAUGCACAAAAGGAGGGGCUGUGCUGUCAGUGGAUGCACCAAGGGAGCGUGUAGUAGCAGUCAAGGCCGCACAGACCGUUGUGUGAAGCACGGUGGCGGCAAGAGAUGUAAAUAUGAUGGUUGUGGGAAGGGUGCUCAAGGGAACACAGAUUUUUGCAUUGCGCAUGGUGGGGGAAGGCGAUGCGAGUUUCAAGGAUGCGAGAAAAGUGCACAAGGGCGAACUGAUAGUUGUAUCAAACAUGGUGGCGGCCGACGCUGCAUGGUUCUAGGAUGUAACAUGAGUGCAGCAUAUGGGACUGAUUUAUGCUCUAUGCAUAGAACAAGUUUGCUGAGUGGCUAUAAUUCUGCCCAUGAAAUGCUGCCAGCACCAGCGCCUGAACGUCGGGCCAAGGAGGCAGAACCAUCCAAAAGAAGAAACUCACACUCAGUGACUAGAGGGGAAAGGGCUCAAAAUAGGCAGAACACCGAUGAAUAUGUUAACAACAUUAGAAGCGUGAGUGAUGUUAAGAUGGUAGAGGAAAAGGGCAGAGUUUUGAUUUGUCAGAAUAAUACGCUGAAGCGACAGUGA